RNAcentral lists this ribosomal RNA (468 nucleotides) under uncultured bacterium. Its description in RNAcentral is "partial 16S ribosomal RNA". It matches the Rfam family "Bacterial small subunit ribosomal RNA", at positions 28 to 507 of the family's 1533-position model. The record is from RNAcentral.
GACGAACGCUGGCGGCGUGCUUAACACAUGCAAGUCGAACGGAAAGGCCCUGCUUUUGUGGGGUGCUCGAGUGGCGAACGGGUGAGUAACACGUGAGUAACCUGCCCUUGACUUUGGGAUAACUUCAGGAAACUGGGGCUAAUACCGGAUAGGAGCUCCUGCUGCAUGGUGGGGGUUGGAAAGUUUCGGCGGUUGGGGAUGGACUCGCGGCUUAUCAGCUUGUUGGCGGGGUAGUGGCUUACCAAGGCUUUGACGGGUAGCCGGCCUGAGAGGGUGACCGGCCACAUUGGGACUGAGAUACGGCCCAGACUCCUACGGGAGGCAGCAGUGGGGAAUAUUGCACAAUGGGCGGAGGCCUGAUGCAGCAACGCCGCGUGCGGGAUGACGGCCUUCGGGUUGUAAACCGCUUUCGCCUGUGACGAAGCGUGAGUGACGGUAAUGGGUAAAGAAGCACCGGCUAACUACGUG